This 253-nucleotide ribosomal RNA is filed under the name uncultured bacterium. Its description in RNAcentral is "partial 16S ribosomal RNA". It matches the Rfam family "Bacterial small subunit ribosomal RNA", at positions 524 to 776 of the family's 1533-position model. The record is from RNAcentral.
UACGUAGGGCGCAAGCGCUGUCCGGAAUUAUUGGGCGUAAAGAGCUCGUAGGCGGCCUGUUACGUCUGCUGUGAAAUCCCGGGGCUUAACCCCGGGCCUGCAGUGGAUACGGGCAGGCUAGAGGCAGGCAGGGGAGAAUGGAAUUCCUGGUGUAGCGGUGAAAUGCGCAGAUAUCAGGAGGAACACCGGUGGCGAAGGCGGUUCUCUGGGCCUUACCUGACACUGAGGAGCGAAAGCGUGGGGAGCGAACAGG